RNAcentral lists this ribosomal RNA (118 nucleotides) under Geovibrio thiophilus. RNAcentral also lists the same sequence under 1 other name. Lineage: Bacteria; Pseudomonadati; Deferribacterota; Deferribacteres; Deferribacterales; Geovibrionaceae. The record is from RNAcentral.
UCUGGUGGUCUUAGCGGAGGGGUUACACCUGUACCCAUUCCGAACACAGAAGUUAAGUCCUCCAGCGCCGAUGAUACUUAGCUAAGAGAGAGCUUGGGAGAGUAGGUCACUGCCAGAG